AUACGUAGGGUGCAAGCGUUAAUCGGAAUUACUGGGCGUAAAGCGUGCGCAGGCGGUUUUGUAAGACAGUGGUGAAAUCCCCGGGCUCAACCUGGGAACUGCCAUUGUGACUGCAAGGCAGGAGUGCGGCAGAGGGGGAUGGAAUUCCGCGUGUAGCAGUGAAAUGCGUAGAUAUGCGGAGGAACACCGAUGGCGAAGGCAAUCCCCUGGGCCUGCACUGACGCUCAUGCACGAAAGCGUGGGGAGCAAACAGGAUUAGAUACCCUGGUAGUCCACGCCCUAAACGAUGUCAACUGGUUGUUGGGGAUUUAUUUUCUCAGUAACGAAGCUAACGCGUGAAGUUGACCGCCUGGGGAGUACGGCCGCAAGGUUAAAACUCAAAUGAAUUGACGGGG
Molecule: ribosomal RNA, 395 nt
Filed under: uncultured bacterium
Lineage: Bacteria
Description: partial 16S ribosomal RNA
Rfam family: Bacterial small subunit ribosomal RNA
Source: RNAcentral